This 300-nucleotide long non-coding RNA is filed under the name Ananas comosus (pineapple). Its description in RNAcentral is "long non-coding RNA (ACOM_LNC044272)". Lineage: Eukaryota; Viridiplantae; Streptophyta; Magnoliopsida; Poales; Bromeliaceae. The record is from RNAcentral.
CUGCAACUGACAUAAUUUUCUUGGCAGAAACAUACACUCUUUCAGUUACUCCCUCCACUCUAGAAAGAGUUAAAAUAACUCAAUUGCCGACUUUCGCAAUAAGUCACGCCUCUCACGUCUUGCCUUCCUAGGGUCUACCAAAGCCUAGGGUUUUCUAGGUCCCAACGACCUAAUUCUAAGCUCCGGUACCAACUUAAUCUGUUACGUCUCAGAUUACCACAUUUUUCCGGUCACGCCAACAGACCUGCCGUAUACAUAGAAAUUUUUCGUGUAUAUGAAGCAAUAGCUGUACCUGUAAAU